UAAAAGGUAAGGAAAAGGGACCCAUGAAGAGAUCAAAAGGAAGUUUAGGCAGCUUGAAUAUGCUUAUGGGCAAGGAUAACAGUGAGCCGGGUAAAACAUCUGGAGCAUCUGGGAAUGGAUUUGUCUCCCAAAGUGGUGACAGUGCAAGUGAAGGUUCCAGUGAAGGAAGUGCAUAUAUGGAAGUUUUCAACUUCAGUAAAAGACGAGUGCAUAUAUGACUUUGUGAGUCUAAUGCCUUUUUAGAAAUGCAAUUUUAGUUGGAGCAUAUGCAUAAAGCAUCAUUGUGACUGUUUUGGAUGUAAACACUACCCAGACAUUUCGUAUUCAUAAUUUCCACUCAUCAUGUGCAUGACACACAACAGAAGGCAAGCGGUGGGAAAGAUUCUUUGGAAGCUGAUGCGUCUAAGAAUGGGAGUUCCGUCCGUGGUCCUCAAAAUGGUGUGGCUCGCAGUCCAUCACAAACAAUGUUGAAUCAAACAAUGCCUGUCAUGCCAAUGGCAGCACUUGUGUAAGUUGCAUGCUUGUAUGGUUAAGCCUCGGUACGGAAUUAUUUACUGGCACUCUCAUGCGGAAAACUUCAUUCUUGUUAUGCUUUUCUGUAUAU
Magnolia sinica is the source of this 604-nucleotide long non-coding RNA. RefSeq lists it as uncharacterized. The record is from RefSeq and is a predicted model, not a curated record. NCBI's taxonomy places the organism in Eukaryota, Viridiplantae, Streptophyta, Magnoliopsida, Magnoliales, Magnoliaceae. The transcript is spliced from 3 exons.